This 1144-nucleotide ribosomal RNA is filed under the name human gut metagenome. Its description in RNAcentral is "bacterial LSU rRNA". It matches the Rfam family "Bacterial large subunit ribosomal RNA", at positions 1295 to 2432 of the family's 2925-position model. The record is from RNAcentral.
UGCCGGUGUGAGUAACGAAAAUUGGGUGAGAAUCCCAUUCACCGUUUGACUAAGGGUUCCUGGGUAAAGUUCGUCUUCCCAGGGUAAGUCAGGACCUAAGAUGAGGCUGAAAAGCGUAGUCGAUGGACAACAGGUUGAUAUUCCUGUACCACCUAUAUGACUGAAGGAGUGACGGAGAAAGCUAGUGAGAGCCAGUUAAUGGAUUCUGGUCUAAGUGCGUAGGCUAGUAUGUUGGCAAAUCCGCAAUACUAUAACAGCUGAAACAUGAUGGGGAAGAGAGUCUUCGGACAAUCGAACUUUCAUGAUGCUAUGCUUCCAAGAAAAGCUUCUAGGGUUAAUCGUAUAGGUGCCUGUACCGACAACCGACACAGGUGGUCAAGGAGAGUAUCCUAAGGUGAGCGAGAGAACUAUGGUUAAGGAACUCGGCAAAAUGACCCCGUAACUUCGGGAGAAGGGGUGGUCUAGCGAUAGACCCGCAGUGAAUAGGCCCAGGCAACUGUUUACCAAAAACACAGGUCUCUGCUAACACGUAAGUGGAUGUAUAGGGGCUGACGCCUGCCCAGUGCUGGAAGGUUAAAGAGAUUAGUUAGUAUGACGCAAGUCGAUAAUACGAAGCUUUGAACUGAAGCCCCAGUGAACGGCGGCCGUAACUAUAACGGUCCUAAGGUAGCGAAAUUCCUUGUCAGGUAAGUUCUGACCCGCACGAAAGGCGUAAUGAUCUGGGUACUGUCUCAACCAUAGACUCGGUGAAAUCUUAAUACCUGUGAAAAUGCAGGUUACCCGCGACUGGACGGAGAGACCCCGUGGAGCUUUACUGUAGCUUGAUAUUGGAAUUCGGUAAACUAUGUAGAGCAUAGGUGGGAGACUAUGAGACUAAGGCGCCAGCCUUAGAGGAGUCACCAUUGGAAUACCACCCUUAGUUUAUUGGAUUUCUAACCUAGAGCCAUUAUCUGGUUCAGGGACAGUGUCUGGUGGGCAGUUUGACUGGGGCGGUCGCCUCCUAAAAUGUAACGGAGGCGUUCAAAGGUUCCCUCAGAAUGGUUGGAAAUCAUUCAAAGAGCGUAAAGGUAUAUAGGGAGCUUGACUGCGAGACCUACAAGUCAAGCAGGUGCGAAAGCAGGACUUAGUGAUCAGGCGAUUCAGA